ACAGAGUAUGGUGAUAGCGUUAUUCCGUGCGUGAUUAGGUAACCACUCAGACCCCAGGAGCGAAGCUCGGUAAUGGAAGCGGUGCAGCUGUGACAGAGCUAAAUAUGAAGCUACAGCUUGGUUAGCUGAACACAACAACUUGAAACAGGAAAACAACUAGCCUGGUCCAAUACAAAGUGAACCUCCACCUGGGCACGGCAGCGAGGUCGGAGGUCAAUCUCAGCAAGUGGUUCCAGCUUCCCGUACUUGGUUACCAGGCAAUGGUAUCUGUGGAGGAAAAGAGCAGGUUGUGCUGGCUUCUAUGCUUCCUUCACUUACUGUGCUAUCAUGAGGCUGCGUCGCUCUACGUUGGUGUAGGUCUGCAGUAAGGGAAUGCCCUGCAGUCGCACUUCCUCCAACUUAGGGAAGAAGUUCAGCUUCUCAAUGUCGGCCCAUCGGUUGAGACCUGGCAACACGCACAGACAUGUUAGG
Molecule: long non-coding RNA, 471 nt
Organism: Micropterus dolomieu (smallmouth bass)
Lineage: Eukaryota; Metazoa; Chordata; Actinopteri; Centrarchiformes; Centrarchidae
Exons: 4
Source: RefSeq, a predicted model, not a curated record